Molecule: non-coding RNA, 330 nt
Organism: Pimephales promelas (fathead minnow)
Lineage: Eukaryota; Metazoa; Chordata; Actinopteri; Cypriniformes; Leuciscidae
Source: RefSeq, a predicted model, not a curated record
ACCAAUCACAGCGCGAUGUUCCCAUGACGUAAGAACAUUUGAACUCGACAAACAGCGCAAAUAAAGCAACGUUUCUGUUGAAGAAAUCGGCGCAGAAUGUCCGUUGUCUAAAUUGGCGACACAUUGGCCCAAAACAACAGAACUCCUGGUCAACGGAACUCUUUCACAACUACUCCAAACGGACUGUUUCAAGAUGAUUAACUUACCGAUGACACAAUAAAGUCUCCAUUUACAACCAAGGUAGCCAAGAUGCCGAAUGGCAGUGAAUGGCCGUCUAUCAAGGCGCAUCCAUCCAUGAUAAAAGUAAUCCACCACAUGACUCUGGCGGGG